CUGCAUCCCACAGGUGUGAUAAGCUGUCCCCAUGUCCCUGCUGGACCAUUCCACUCUGGAAACACAGAUAACAGAAAUCCACUUCACUGCCCAGCCCCCAGACACUCUGCAUGGUUUUGUCCCUUUCUGUUGGUUAUUUUUUUGGGUCUGCUCUGUUCUGUGAAGCCACACGUGCUCUGCUGUUAUUCUGGUGGGGUCUGCAGAGCAUCUGGGGCCCAAACAGCCCAGGGCCUGCUGAGAGAGCUCAGGAGGAUCUCAGCUUGUCUCUGCAAUGCAGACUUUUUUAUCCAGUUACACAAAACCACCCAAACCCAUGGAAAAGAAGGUGAAGGAGGAGAAGGCGACAGAGGAGCAGAAGAAGAAGAAGAAGAAGAAGAAGAAGAAGAAGAAGAAGAAGAAGAGGAGGAGGAGGAGAAUAAGGAGAAAUAGGAGGAAAAGAAGACCAUGCAGCUGAGCUGUGCACAACCAGGCCACCACAAGAUUUCUGCAGCUUCUGCAAUGAUGAUAAAAUAAAAGAGAUGAAAUGACCGCUGGGCUAAAAUAAAAACCUCUUUAAAGCUCCAUGGCAUAAAAGGCAUUGUUUAAUUGAGGGUACUUUAUUCCCUGUAAGAACAUUAAAUCCUGGAUCACAGUUUUGAG
Passer domesticus (house sparrow) is the source of this 639-nucleotide long non-coding RNA. RefSeq lists it as uncharacterized. NCBI's taxonomy places the organism in Eukaryota, Metazoa, Chordata, Aves, Passeriformes, Passeridae. The transcript has 3 exons. The record is from RefSeq and is a predicted model, not a curated record.